This is a non-coding RNA of Merluccius polli (Benguela hake), 69 nucleotides long. NCBI's taxonomy places the organism in Eukaryota, Metazoa, Chordata, Actinopteri, Gadiformes, Merlucciidae. The record is from the annotation of a GenBank genome assembly.
UAGCCCGUAUUGGUAAACGCAUGGCACUAAUGCUGCCAGGGUCGUGGGUUCGAUUCCCACUCACGCCCA